Hyaena hyaena (striped hyena) is the source of this 990-nucleotide long non-coding RNA. RefSeq lists it as uncharacterized. NCBI's taxonomy places the organism in Eukaryota, Metazoa, Chordata, Mammalia, Carnivora, Hyaenidae. The transcript is spliced from 3 exons. The record is from RefSeq and is a predicted model, not a curated record.
GUUAAAAUUAUGUGUUCAGUUCAGGAAUAUUGAACCUAGCUCUCACUGUGUCCUGAACCCCUUACAAACAUUAAGUCACUCAUCCUCGUGACAGCCCCUGAGCCCCUCUGGGUGAAGCCAUGGCCACAGCGAGGUGGAGGGACAGGCCCGGUUCUUCCAGGAAGGUCAGAGCAGUCGAGCUUCAGAAACUCGUUCUUGACCCACUGCUCAGGUGGCUCCCGAAAUGCCAACUCUAGGACUGAUGACGGCCAGACCCACGGGAAACAGCUCAUUUACAGACUGUCACUGAGUGCCGACCUGGAAGAUGGGGUGAUUGGCGCCAUUUUGCUGUAUCUUCCUGCGAGUCCAGGAAUGGAUCUCCAAGGACCACGUAGGCGACUUUGCUCUGGUGAGAUGGUCAGUGAACAGCGCCCCCUGUGGUUUCCGUCCUGGGCGACACACGGUGCCUGCAAAGCCCCACCUACCUGUGAGGCGAGGAUUGAGCUUGAGAGAACCCCAAAUCCGGGAGCUGGGCGCCAGAGCAGGAUGCCGACCCCACGGGACAAGUGGCCAUCUAAGCAGUAGAAUCGGCCAUAAUACAGGAAACGAACCUGGAGAGGCUAAGUGUUCACCAUCACAGUGAGGAGGGUCAACCCAGUGCCGUGAAUCCCCAAUUUCAGAUUAAUCACGAGUGUCAAUGGUACCUGCAAUAACCAUGACGUGGUAUGAAAAUAACCGAUUUCUACUGGUGCGACAUCAUACGUUCCCUUGGCUCUGCUCUGAGGAUUUUUAAAUUCAAGCCUGAAGGAAAUACUAGAUUCCUGCUAGAGGUUAGUGAAAAUAAAAGAUGUGAUUUUUUUUUUUUUUUCCCGUCCAGCCUCACAGACCCCUGAAUGCUAUCUGUGCCCUGUGGGCGUCUGAGGACCCUAAGAUCACCUCCUCUAUGCACAAGGCCUCCUUGCUGCCUUUCCUGUCUUGCAUUGGGACAGAUACUCAGUACUUGGUUUUAGC